This 429-nucleotide ribosomal RNA is filed under the name Actinomycetes bacterium. RNAcentral describes it as "Actinobacteria bacterium partial 16S ribosomal RNA". It matches the Rfam family "Bacterial small subunit ribosomal RNA", at positions 355 to 776 of the family's 1533-position model. Lineage: Bacteria; Bacillati; Actinomycetota; Actinomycetes. The record is from RNAcentral.
UAGGGAAUCUUCCGCAAUGGGCGAAAGCUUGACGCAGCAACGCCGCGUGAGUUAUGAAGGUCUUCGGAUCGUAAAACUCUGUUAUUAGGGAAGACCAAAUGUGUAAGUAACUAUGCACGUCUUGACGGUACCUAAUCAGAAAGCCACGGCUAACUACGUGCCAGCAGCCGCGGUAAUACGUAGGUGGCAAGCGUUAUCCGGAAUUAUGGGGCGUAAAGCGCGUGUAGGCGGUUUUUUAAGACUGAUGUGAAAGCCCCCGGCUCAACCGUGGGGGGUCAUUGGAAACUGGAAAACUUGAGUGCAGAAGAGGAAAGUGGAAUUCCAUGUGUAGCGGUGAAAUGCGCAGAGAUAUGGAGGAACCCCAGUGGCGAAGGCUACUUUCUAGUCGGUAACUGACGCUGAUGUGCGAAAGCGUGGGGAUCAAACAGG